GAUGAACGCUGGCGGCGUGCCUAAUACAUGCAAGUCGAGCGAACGGACGAGAAGCUUGCUUCUCUGAUGUUAGCGGCGGACGGGUGAGUAACACGUGGAUAACCUACCUAUAAGACUGGGAUAACUUCGGGAAACCGGAGCUAAUACCGGAUGAUAUUUUGAACCGCAUGGUUCAAAAGUGAAAGACGGUCUUGCUGUCACUUAUAGAUGGAUCCGCGCUGCAUUAGCUAGUUGGUAAGGUAACGGCUUACCAAGGCAACGAUGCAUAGCCGACCUGAGAGGGUGAUCGGCCACACUGGAACUGAGACACGGUCCAGACUCCUACGGGAGGCAGCAGUAGGGAAUCUUCCGCAAAGGGCGAAAGCCUGACGGAGCAACGCCGCGUGAGUGAUGAAGGUCUUCGGAUCGUAAAACUCUGUUAUUAGGGAAGAACAUAUGUGUAAGUAACUGUGCACAUCUUGACGGUACCUAAUCAGAAAGCCACGGCUAACUACGUG
Molecule: ribosomal RNA, 497 nt
Filed under: uncultured bacterium
Lineage: Bacteria
Description: partial 16S ribosomal RNA
Rfam family: Bacterial small subunit ribosomal RNA
Source: RNAcentral